CGCGUAGGCGGUCGGGUAAGUCGGGUGUGAAAUUCCGGGCUCAACCCCGUGGACUGCAUCCGAUACUGCUCGACUAGAGAGAGGUAGGGGCGAGUGGAAUUCCCGGUGUAGCGGUGGAAUGCGUAGAUAUCGGGAAGAACACCGGUGGCGAAGGCGGCUCGCUGGGCCUCGUCUGACGCUGAAGCGCGAAAGCGUGGGAGCAAACA
RNAcentral lists this ribosomal RNA (206 nucleotides) under uncultured bacterium. Its description in RNAcentral is "partial 16S ribosomal RNA". It matches the Rfam family "Bacterial small subunit ribosomal RNA", at positions 568 to 774 of the family's 1533-position model. The record is from RNAcentral.